RNAcentral lists this ribosomal RNA (455 nucleotides) under uncultured bacterium. RNAcentral describes it as "bacterial SSU rRNA". It matches the Rfam family "Bacterial small subunit ribosomal RNA", at positions 28 to 469 of the family's 1533-position model. The record is from RNAcentral.
GACGAACGCUGGCGGCGUGCCUAAUACAUGCAAGUAGAACGCUGAAGGAGGAGCUUGCUUCUCUGGAUGAGUUGCGAACGGGUGAGUAACGCGUAGGUAACCUGCCUGGUAGCGGGGGAUAACUAUUGGAAACGAUAGCUAAUACCGCAUAAUAGCAGUUAUUGCAUGAUAACUGUUUGAAAGGUGCAAUUGCACCACUACCAGAUGGACCUGCGUUGUAUUAGCUAGUUGGUGGGGUAACGGCUCACCAAGGCGACGAUACAUAGCCGACCUGAGAGGGUGAUCGGCCACACUGGGACUGAGACACGGCCCAGACUCCUACGGGAGGCAGCAGUAGGGAAUCUUCGGCAAUGGACGGAAGUCUGACCGAGCAACGCCGCGUGAGUGAAGAAGGUUUUCGGAUCGUAAAGCUCUGUUGUAAGAGAAGAACGAGUGUGAGAGNGGAAAGUUCACAC